Molecule: non-coding RNA, 1239 nt
Organism: Pimephales promelas (fathead minnow)
Lineage: Eukaryota; Metazoa; Chordata; Actinopteri; Cypriniformes; Leuciscidae
Source: RefSeq, a predicted model, not a curated record
CGCAGAGAGUAAGAGGAUUGGCAAGGACCAAUGAGACCGCAGAAGGGGCGGGGCAAAUAGGCGAGCCUUUCUGCUGACUACUACUCGCGCCAGGCUUCUCUUUCCCUCUUAAUUUGCAAAACAAAUUUCUUAUAUUUUAUAAAUUACUUUUAACUAUAGAUAAUUAUUUUAAAGGGGGAAAAAAGCUGAAAGCGGACAGUACCUUUUUGGUCGAUUGUUUGUUCUUGUGGCAAAUACAAUUGUAUUUUUUCUUUAUUCAUAAAAUGUUUUUAUUUAUUUAAUAAGCACAUUGUAGAAAAAAAUGAAUAUAUGUAAAGCCAUUUCAAAUGGUAAAAUACUGUGAAAUCUCUAUUCAAACUAGCUGGGGAACCGAGUAAAAUUAAAUAAAGCGCGAUGAUACAAGAAAAAAUUAUUAAAAACACGUUAUGCCUACUGAAUUUGACGGUACAGUUUUAUUUUUUUCUUUAUAAUGAUUCUUUCUUAAGUUCGACUUAUUUAAUUCUAUAAGUGCUAAGUUGUCUGCGUGGAAAACAAACAAUUUUGAUUUAUUCAUUCUCAUUUAUACACAUAUUUCUUAUACUAUAUCAGUGAGAUAUGAAUAUAACGUUAGGCAGGCUAUAGAUUGAUGAAGAUACAUAGAAAAUAUUGUUUUUCUUGAUAUCAAACUUACAUGUUUAUUCAAACUGAAUCAUCCGCGACACAAAGCCAACAAAACACGACCUAAAUUACAACGAAUUCUGAAAUUUAUAUUAUUUUUUAUUAACUAAUUGGUAGAAAUUACAUACAUGGUUACCAUGGUUACAGCUUUCCAAACAUUAACGACUGAAAUGUUCAUGUGCUGUUUCGACUUAAGUAGCCUACAUAUAAUUAAUACCAUGUCAAAAUCGAAGCAAGAUCAACUGUACGAGUUGAAUAUGCGGAGAGAGACCUGGUGUUGCGUGGAGGCAACCAGCAGAUCUUGGAAUUUACCAGAAAGAAAACACUUCCGUUGUCACCUCAGGAGAAGCAGUGAGUUCAGCGCGAUGCAGACUGCGAGUCCCGAGCAGAGGUGCUCCUGGAUGGGCAGCAACAACAACAAACAUCCCGAGAGAAAGCAUUUCGAAGACAGCUAUAAUGCUCACCUAGUGUGAGGAACUGCAAUCAACUACAGUGCAGACUGCAGAGCAAAUGUUUUUCUCCAGACACUGCAAUAAACAUGUAUAAUCAACCAAUCUGGCAAUAUUUUUUUAUUUAAACUAU